ACUAGUGCUGUGAAAGACGAUGGUAGUGAGAUGCCAGUUGCAUCUCGCUUCCCCGCCUUUCCCGGUAAGAAUCACUAGUC
Molecule: microRNA precursor, 80 nt
Filed under: Schistosoma japonicum
Lineage: Eukaryota; Metazoa; Platyhelminthes; Trematoda; Strigeidida; Schistosomatidae
Description: precursor microRNA 71a
Rfam family: mir-71 microRNA precursor family (bases 5-69)
Source: RNAcentral